This 189-nucleotide unclassified non-coding RNA is filed under the name plant metagenome. RNAcentral's name for it is "partial contains small subunit ribosomal RNA and internal transcribed spacer 1". The stretch from base 1 to 46 matches the Rfam family "Eukaryotic small subunit ribosomal RNA", at positions 1786 to 1831 of the family's 1831-position model. The record is from RNAcentral.
AAGUUGUAACAAGGUUUCUGUAGGUAAACCUGCAGAAGGAUUAUUAUUGUAGGGCUUCGAGCCCUGUCAAGAUAGAACCCUUGCCUUUAUAAGUACCGUCUGUUUCCUUGGCAGGUCUGCCUGCUAAUAGACCCAAAACCAAACCCUUUUAUUACCUGUAUCAGUCUGAAAAAUAAACAAAAAUUAAAA